Sciurus carolinensis (gray squirrel) is the source of this 287-nucleotide long non-coding RNA. RefSeq lists it as uncharacterized. The transcript is spliced from 3 exons. The record is from RefSeq and is a predicted model, not a curated record. NCBI's taxonomy places the organism in Eukaryota, Metazoa, Chordata, Mammalia, Rodentia, Sciuridae.
CUUGGAUUCCGCCCUUGGCAACCGUUCUGCCGCGGCGCUCUGGCCUGCGGAGGCUCUGAGUAGAUUCGCGCAAACCGCCACUUCCCUGGGCUCCAGUCGCACUCACCCCACUGCUCUCAGCGAGAGGCACAAAUGAUGCAAAAUGUGCACCUGGCUCCAGAGACAGAUGAUGAUGAUCUUUAUUCUGGUUAUAAUGACUACAAUCCAAUCUAUGAUACUGAGGAUUGGAGAAUGAUACAGGUUUUCAGCAAGCAGUAAGAACAAGUCAUGGCAGAAGACCUCCUGUA